Molecule: long non-coding RNA, 1166 nt
Filed under: Heterocephalus glaber (naked mole-rat)
Lineage: Eukaryota; Metazoa; Chordata; Mammalia; Rodentia; Bathyergidae
Description: lncRNA (ENSHGLG00000036809.1)
Source: RNAcentral
UUUCUUUCUUUCUUUCUUUUCUGUAUUGGGAUAAAUUCCUUUGUUUUUCCUAUUGGAUACGAAGCUUACAGGAUUAGUGACUAUUUCUACUGCAGUAAAUUUGGAGUCAUUUUGAAAAAUGGGGCCAUCUUCAAGAAAGCAAAUCUGAAGAAAUAAAGAUGAAGAAAAUGAUCUUUGAUAUCAUGAUUUGAGCCCUGAAGGAGUAUAAGCUGUGUAUCUAUUUCCUGACUGCCUAGUUAUUUGAUACAAAGCAUCCUCCUCUCCAUUCUUUUUUAACUUGAGCUUUUCCUAACAACAGAAAUAAUUUUCACUGGUAUAUUCAUGGAAAAUAAUGGCACAGCUGUUGGUACUGGGAGUAUUAGAGAUAUAAAAACACUACUUCUGACUUCAAAGAAUUCACAGUUCUUAGAAGAAUACAUACACACACUCCAGUUAUUCCAAUAUAUAAGAAUUAUGCAUGGAAUUGGGAAGAACAGGUUAGGGUGAGAGUAGGGCGAAGAAGACUUCCCAGAAAAAUGGCAUUCAAAUUAAGUCAUCAAAGAAAUAUAUAUUUAAGUAAGAUUGGUCUGAUUCCUACUUAAGUUGGAAUUUCUUCAAAACCAGUCCAAGAUACAGGACAUGGAUACAAGCUUUUUAUUUUGGACAUAAUCCCAGGAAAUAUGAGAAUGUAAGAGAGGGAAUAGGAAAGAUGAUACAAGGAAGUAAGUAAGGGAAAAUUUACAAGUAAACUAUGCUGGAUAACUGGUCAAAGAAGCCAUCAAAUUUAUCCAUUACUCCCUCCCAGAAUGGUUGCUUGUUGUUCCCAGGGUUACCUCCUCUACACUUUUUGGCUAUGAGAAGAAGAAUAUUCUCUGUGGCAGUGAAGAGAGCUAAUUGGGGGGAAAAGAAGCAUAUACUGUCAAUGUGCUGGGAACUAAUUGCAGGUAAACUGAGGGAUUGAACUUGGGUCCUUGCGCUUGCGCAGCAGGCGGCGAAAUGAGUGAGCUAAAUCCCCAGCCCAGUUCUAUAAAUUUUUAUUGAAAGCUCAUACUUAUUCCAGGUAAUGUGGACAAAACCCCUUCUCUUAUUGGGUAGUCUAGACUCUCCUGCUAAUCAUGAUUUUAACCAGGAUGAUGAUAACCUGACAUUUAUGUGUUGCUUACUGUGGGUCAGAUGAUAUUUUUUAG